GUCAGGAUGGCCUAGUGGUCUAAGUGCCAGAAUCAAGUUUUGGUCCUCGUAAGAGGGUAUGGGUUCAAAUCCCACUUAUGACA
RNAcentral lists this transfer RNA (83 nucleotides) under Ipomoea nil (Japanese morning glory). It matches the Rfam family "tRNA". From Rfam's summary of the family: Transfer RNA (tRNA) molecules are approximately 80 nucleotides in length. Their secondary structure includes four short double-helical elements and three loops (D, anti-codon, and T loops). Lineage: Eukaryota; Viridiplantae; Streptophyta; Magnoliopsida; Solanales; Convolvulaceae. The record is from Rfam by way of RNAcentral.